RNAcentral lists this ribosomal RNA (1226 nucleotides) under Paenibacillus sp. EAMC4. RNAcentral describes it as "bacterial SSU rRNA". It matches the Rfam family "Bacterial small subunit ribosomal RNA", at positions 143 to 1354 of the family's 1533-position model. The record is from RNAcentral. Lineage: Bacteria; Bacillati; Bacillota; Bacilli; Caryophanales; Paenibacillaceae.
AUAACUACCGGAAACGGUAGCUAAUACCGGAUAAUUUCUUUUUUCUCCUGAAGGAAGAAUGAAAGACGGAGCAAUCUGUCACUGAGGGAUGGGCCUGCGGCGCAUUAGCUAGUUGGUGGGGUAACGGCCCACCAAGGCGACGAUGCGUAGCCGACCUGAGAGGGUGAACGGCCACACUGGGACUGAGACACGGCCCAGACUCCUACGGGAGGCAGCAGUAGGGAAUCUUCCGCAAUGGACGAAAGUCUGACGGAGCAACGCCGCGUGAGUGAUGAAGGUUUUCGGAUCGUAAAGCUCUGUUGCCAGGGAAGAACGUCCGGUAGAGUAACUGCUACCGGAGUGACGGUACCUGAGAAGAAAGCCCCGGCUAACUACGUGCCAGCAGCCGCGGUAAUACGUAGGGGGCAAGCGUUGUCCGGAAUUAUUGGGCGUAAAGCGCGCGCAGGCGGUCAUUUAAGUCUGGUGUUUAAACCUUGGGCUCAACCUGAGGUCGCACUGGAAACUGGGUGACUUGAGUACAGAAGAGGAAAGUGGAAUUCCACGUGUAGCGGUGAAAUGCGUAGAUAUGUGGAGGAACACCAGUGGCGAAGGCGACUUUCUGGGCUGNAACUGACGCUGAGGCGCGAAAGCGUGGGGAGCAAACAGGAUUAGAUACCCUGGUAGUCCACGCCCGUAAACGAUGAGUGCUAGGUGUUAGGGGUUUCGAUACCCUUGGUGCCGAAGUUAACACAGUAAGCACUCCGCCUGGGGAGUACGGUCGCAAGACUGAAACUCAAAGGAUUGACGGGGACCCGCACAAGCAGUGGAGUAUGUGGUUUAAUUNGAAGCAACGCGAAGAACCUUACCAGGUCUUGACAUCCCUNNNAAUCCACUAGAGAUAGUGGCGGCCUUCGGGACAGAGGAGACAGGUGGUGCAUGGUUGUCGUCAGCUCGUGUCGUGAGAUGUUGGGUUAAGUCCCGCAACGAGCGCAACCCUUAACUUUAGUUGCCAGCAAGUAAUGUUGGGCACUCUAGAGUGACUGCCGGUGACAAACCGGAGGAAGGUGGGGAUGACGUCAAAUCAUCAUGCCCCUUAUGACCUGGGCUACACACGUACUACAAUGGCCGGUACAACGGGAAGCGAAACCGCGAGGUGAAGCCAAUCCCAUCAAAGCCGGUCUCAGUUCGGAUUGCAGGCUGCAACUCGCCUGCAUGAAGUCGGAAUUGCUAGUAAUCGCGGAUCAGCA